RNAcentral lists this long non-coding RNA (205 nucleotides) under Mus pahari (shrew mouse). Its description in RNAcentral is "lncRNA (MGP_PahariEiJ_G0005877.1)". Lineage: Eukaryota; Metazoa; Chordata; Mammalia; Rodentia; Muridae. The record is from RNAcentral.
GAGGAGCUGGUGAUGCCUGCGGGAGUGAGGGGAUCCAAGCCAUUACAAAUGGGGGGAAAAGGGCCGGUCAAGACAAUAGAGCUACAUAAUCCAAAGAAGGAUCAAACUGAUCUUGGUCCUGUGACCUUUUGCCCUUCCUUUAAUUCUCUAUACUGAACAUCUGUGUUUCGUGGUCAACGUCUGAAAGUAAUAAAGACAAUUAGAG